This 65-nucleotide transfer RNA is filed under the name zebrafish metagenome. It matches the Rfam family "tRNA", at positions 5 to 66 of the family's 71-position model. Rfam says of the family: Transfer RNA (tRNA) molecules are approximately 80 nucleotides in length. The record is from RNAcentral.
CGUUAGCUCAGUUGGUAGAGCAGCGGACUUUUAAUCCGUUGGUCGAUGGUUCGAAUCCAUCACGG